AUUGAACGCUGGCGGCAGGCCUAACACAUGCAAGUCGAACGGUAACACAAAGCGGCUUUCUGCUUCCCUGACGCGUGUCGCAGGCGUGUGUGGUGUCUAGCAGACUCUCUUUUUUCGUGGGGUAUAACGUAGAAAAGGUAGCGAUUAUCGCGUAUAGUCGCUACGCCAAAGAGGAGGACAUUCUGGCCUCUUGCGCUCUGAUGUGCCCCGAUGUCGGAUUAGCUUGUUGGGGGGGUAAAGGCCCACCAAGGCGACGAUCCGUAGCUGGUCUGAGAGGAUGACCAGCCACACUGGAACUGAGACACGGUCCAGACUCCUACGGGAGGCAGCAGUGGGGAAUAUUGGACAAUGGGCGCAAGCCUGAUGCAGCCAUGCCGCGUGGAUGAAGAAGGCCUUCGGGUUGUAAAGCACUUUUGGUGGGAAAGAAGAGAAGAAGGUUAAUACCUCGCUGUACUGACGGUACCCGAAGAAGAAGCACCGGCUAACUUCGUG
Molecule: ribosomal RNA, 492 nt
Filed under: uncultured bacterium
Lineage: Bacteria
Description: partial 16S ribosomal RNA
Rfam family: Bacterial small subunit ribosomal RNA
Source: RNAcentral